This 97-nucleotide signal recognition particle RNA is filed under the name Proteus hauseri. RNAcentral's name for it is "signal recognition particle sRNA small type". It matches the Rfam family "Bacterial small signal recognition particle RNA". Rfam says of the family: The signal recognition particle (SRP) is a universally conserved ribonucleoprotein involved in the co-translational targeting of proteins to membranes. Archaeal SRP consists of a 7S RNA and homologues of the eukaryotic SRP19 and SRP54 proteins. In most bacteria, the SRP consists of a 4.5S RNA and the Ffh protein (a homologue of the eukaryotic SRP54 protein). The record is from RNAcentral. RNAcentral also lists the same sequence under 1 other name. Lineage: Bacteria; Pseudomonadati; Pseudomonadota; Gammaproteobacteria; Enterobacterales; Morganellaceae.
UGUUGGUUCUCCCGCAACACUAACUUGUUAACUCGGUCAGGUCCGGAAGGAAGCAGCCAUGACAGGUAUCGUGUGUGCCGGGAUGUCGCUGGCAAGG